RNAcentral lists this ribosomal RNA (504 nucleotides) under Bactrocera abscondita. Its description in RNAcentral is "partial large subunit ribosomal RNA". Lineage: Eukaryota; Metazoa; Arthropoda; Insecta; Diptera; Tephritidae. The record is from RNAcentral.
CCUGUUUAACAAAAACAUGUCUUUUNGAGUUAUUUUUAAAGUCUGACCUGCCCACUGAAGUUAUUWAAAUGGCCGCAGUAUUUUAACUGUGCAAAGGUAGCAUAAUCAUUAGUCUUUUAAUUGAAGGCUGGUAUGAACGGUUGGACGAGGUAUAAGCUGUUUCAUAUAAAUUUAUAAUAGAAUUUUAUGUUUUAGUUAAAAAGCUAAAAUAUAAUUAAAAGACGAGAAGACCCUAUAAAUCUUUAUACUUUAUGUUUUUUAAAUUUUUUAGAUUAUAUUUUAUUUUUAAAAUUUGAAGUAUUUUGUGGGGGUGAUGUUAAAAUUUAAUGAACUUUUAAUUAUUUAAAAUCAUUAAUUUAUGAUUUAUUGAUCCAUUAAUAGUGAUUAUAAGAUUAAGUUACUUUAGGGAUAACAGCGUAAUUUUUUUGGAGAGUUCAUAUCGAUAAAAAAGGUUGCGACCUCGAUGUUGGAUUAAGAUAUAUUUUUAGGUGUAGCUGCUUAAAU